RNAcentral lists this ribosomal RNA (512 nucleotides) under uncultured bacterium. RNAcentral's name for it is "partial 16S ribosomal RNA". It matches the Rfam family "Bacterial small subunit ribosomal RNA", at positions 28 to 523 of the family's 1533-position model. The record is from RNAcentral.
GACGAACGCUGGCGGCAUGCCUAAUACAUGCAAGUCGAGCGAACAGAUGAAGUGCUUGCACUUCUGACGUUAGCGGCGAACGGGAGAGUAACACGUAAGGAAUCUACCUAUAAGCGGGGAUAACAUUCGGAAACGGGUGCUAAUACCGCAUAAUAUCUUCUUCCGCAUGGAAGAAGAUUGAAAGACGGCUCUGCUGUCACUUAUAGAUGACCUUGCGGUGCAUUAGUUAGUUGGUGGGGUAAUGGCCUACCAAGACAAUGAUGCAUAGCCGACCUGAGAGGGUGAUCGGCCACAUUGGGACUGAGACACGGCCCAAACUCCUACGGGAGGCAGCAGUAGGGAAUCUUCCGCAAUGGGCGAAAGCCUGACGGAGCAAUGCCGCGUGAGUGAAGAAGGCCUUCGGGUCGUAAAACUCUGUUAUAAGAGAAGAACAAAUUGUAGAGUAACUGCUACAGUCUUGACGGUAUCUUAUCAGAAAGCCACGGCUAACUACGUGCCAGCAGCCGCAGUAA